This 315-nucleotide long non-coding RNA is filed under the name Vigna radiata. RNAcentral's name for it is "long non-coding RNA (VRAD_LNC008242)". Lineage: Eukaryota; Viridiplantae; Streptophyta; Magnoliopsida; Fabales; Fabaceae. The record is from RNAcentral.
AGUUCAUAAUAACUUAAUUAUUAAAUAUUAAAAUCACAUAUGGAACUUUAUUAUGUUAACAAAGUUCACUUACCCGGAUAUAUAAGGCAAAAAGUAUAUUUUCUUGCCUCUUCCAAAACUUCUUAUCAGAUUCUGGUUGAUCUGAUCAAAAUCAUUUGAUUCAUGAAUUGAUUGGGGAUCAAUGAAUCCAUAAUCAUCAGAACGNCCCAACUUGUUACUGACCCCAGACAUAUACCUGAAAUCAAAAAUUAACUUUGAUGUAAGGAUACUUGAUAUAUAAUUCAAUUUUAUAUAUAAAUAAUCUCUCAUAGACUU